This 439-nucleotide ribosomal RNA is filed under the name uncultured bacterium. RNAcentral's name for it is "partial 16S ribosomal RNA". It matches the Rfam family "Bacterial small subunit ribosomal RNA", at positions 339 to 795 of the family's 1533-position model. The record is from RNAcentral.
CUACGGGGGGCAGCAGUGGGGAAUAUUGGACAAUGGGCGAAAGCCUGAUCCAGCCAUGCCGCGUGGAUGAAGAAGGCCCUAGGGUUGUAAAGUCCUUUCGGUGGUGAAGAUAAUGACGGUAACCACAGAAGAAGCCCCGGCUAAUUUCGUGCCAGCAGCCGCGGUAAUACGAAAGGGGCUAGCGUUGUUCGGAAUUACUGGGCGUAAAGCGCACGUAGGCGGCCUUGUAAGUUGGGGGUGAAAUCCCGGAGCUCAACUCCGGAACUGCCUUCAAAACUACAAAGCUAGAGGAUGUGAGAGGAUAGUGGAAUUCCGAGUGUAGAGGUGAAAUUCGUAGAUAUUCGGAAGAACACCGGUGACGAAGGCGACUGUCUGGCACAUUUCUGACGCUGAGGUGCGAAAGCGUGGGGAGCAAACAGGAUUAGAUACCCUAGUAGUC